RNAcentral lists this transfer RNA (419 nucleotides) under Raphidiopsis mediterranea FCC MDQ. RNAcentral describes it as "partial 16S-23S ribosomal RNA intergenic spacer". Lineage: Bacteria; Bacillati; Cyanobacteriota; Cyanophyceae; Nostocales; Aphanizomenonaceae. The record is from RNAcentral.
UUUAGGGAGACCUACCCAUUGAAGAAUCGAAAGCGGAAAGCGAAUAGAGAAUCAAAUGGUCUACUCUAGGUCGGUGACGCGAGAUUGUGAAGUCUUUCAAACUAAUAUUUGGUUCGCGAGAGGGCUAUUAGCUCAGGUGGUUAGAGCGCACCCCUGAUAAGGGUGAGGUCCCUGGUUCGAGUCCAGGAUGGCCCACCUGAUGGGGGUUUAGCUCAGUUGGUAGAGCGCCUGCUUUGCAAGCAGGAUGUCAGCGGUUCGAGUCCGCUAACCUCCACAUUGGGUAUCYUCAGCAACUAGGAAAGACCUAGACUGCUGGUGAUGAACCAGCCAGAACCUUGAAAACUGCAUAUAGAAAGRUAAGAGUAAGWGUAAGUGGUCAAGCUAAUAAGGGCUCAUGGUGGAUACCUAGGCACACAGAG